UUGAGGAAGUUUGGAGAAGCCAUUUGUCCCUAAGGAGGGAUGCUCACACCUAAAGUACCAUCUUAUUUUGCUGACUACAGAUGUGAUAGUGUCAUGGCCUCUGUGUAUGGCCAAAUCCUCCAUCAGUCCAGCAAGAGUGGCUGGCCUGUGGAUAUACUGAAAAAUGCCAUCUCUACCAUCUUUGGCAUGUGGCUUGAAAACUACUCAGAGUAGUUCAAUCAGCCACCAGAGUUCACAUGCCUCAAGCAGCUGGUGGAGCAUGUGCUUUUGCACAUGCCUAGCUUAGACUUGGAGCACCGUGUGAACCUUCUACUGAUGCAGCUGGAAGAGAAAGAGACCAUGAGAGCCAUGACUGAGGGUCCAACUGGAGAGCAAGAAUCAGCUCCUGCAGCAAACUCCAAACCAGAGGCAGAUCCACAACCCAUGCUGGAGUGAAGAGUCAGAUUCGCUGGCAGCUCCAGUGCCACGUGUACCUAUAAAGCCACCUCGAUCUUUUUUGCUAAAGAAGAAACUGACUGUAUCUGUGACUGUGAAGCUGAAGCCAGACCAAGCAGGGCCACUUGUACCAGUGGUGCCACUCUGGACUGCACCUAUGACCAUGAAACGCAGGGAUUCCUCCUGGAUGCAGCUAGAGAAGAAAGCCAAGGAGCCCGGGGCUGCCACCAUGUACUCUACUUUCAUUCAGCUCUCGAGUGUGACCCAGAGCAUUGCCAACACUGUGCUCAGGCACUGCAUCCUGGCAACCUUGGCCCACACCCAGGAGCUCCGCAGAAUCUGGAGGAACCCUGCCUCCCUCCCAGGGCUUGGAGUCAGCACCACCCAGGGCUGGGUGGAGACCUGGGAAGAGUUCUGCAGUAGGCUGCUCCUCUCUCUCAGAACUCUGGGCACGCCUGCACCACAAACUGGACUGAAUGUGUGCAGAACUUGUUGGUGAAAGUAGGUAUGUGUAAAAUGUGUUUUAUAAAGUUCCCCCAAACUUAAAAUAAAAAAUAUGUUGUUAGAAAAGAGAGAAAAGAAAUGAAAGACCAUUUAGUAAAUAGGCAAAUAAAAAUGUUGAGGCUGAGAUUGGUGGGGCAGCCCUGUCAUUUUAUUACCUUGAAGGGACACUGAGGCAGGAGUCAUAAGCUUCAGGCCAGUUUGGCAAUUCAAUGUCUUAGUGAAACCCUUAAAACAUGAUGAAAUUCACCAUAAUUAGCCAUUAAAGGAAAACAGCUAAAACCCCAUUAAAGAAAUACGAUUACCAGGGAGAUGGCUCAGUGGAAUAAGUGCUUCCCUCACAAGU
Long non-coding RNA from Octodon degus (degu), 1282 nucleotides. RefSeq lists it as uncharacterized. The record is from RefSeq and is a predicted model, not a curated record. Lineage: Eukaryota; Metazoa; Chordata; Mammalia; Rodentia; Octodontidae. The transcript is spliced from 5 exons.